Molecule: long non-coding RNA, 1322 nt
Organism: Nerophis ophidion (straightnose pipefish)
Lineage: Eukaryota; Metazoa; Chordata; Actinopteri; Syngnathiformes; Syngnathidae
Exons: 3
Source: RefSeq, a predicted model, not a curated record
GUUGCGCGCCCCCCCCCCGCAUCACAAGAGCUCAUACUGCCGUAGGUGCAUCCUCUGGAUGAUGUCGCGGCAGUCGCUGAAGACCCGCCGGAUGUUUUCCGUGUCCACAGCGCAGGUGAAGUGGGGGUAGCAGUAAUGGCGUCCGUCCCCGCUGGCUGUGCUGAUCCUCUGCGGGGGAGAGAGGACGACGUCGAGAAGUCAGACAACUGCUUUCUAUGCAAAAUGGUAAACUGGACCUGCAUUUUGCCUAUCCUUUAUUUUUUUUGUGACACCUUUUCCAUAAAAGAACGUUGGCACUUGAGACCUCAAGCUGGCAAUCCAAAAAUUGCAAGCCAGUCUCGUAUCAGUCAGUGUCUGUGUCCAGGAACGGCCUGCUGACUGCUAUGGCCGAACACCGCCGUGACGCAGACAGAGCAGAGACAAGUGACAGCUUCAGUGAUGUAAACAGGGACCUCCCAAAUAAAUGCAGGGCUGGACUUUUAGAACAGUUUGGAUCUGUAACUAGAAUACAGCCCAAAUAACAUUUCUCCUCAUUUUAGCAAAAUUUAACUCUGUCUCUGCAUGAUUCCUUGCUUCUCGUCUGUUUUAAUAGAUGUCAUCAGUGUUUGAACCUGACAGUAUCUCAUUCAAAGGGGACCUAUGAUCAAAACGAUUUUUUUUUUUAGUUAGUUGCUGUUGAAUAACUUAGUCCUGGGGUCAGCGACGUGUGGCUCCUUAGCGCCGCCCUAGUGGCUCCAUGGAGCUUUUUCAAAAAUGUAUGAAAAUGGAAAAAGAUAAAGAAAAAAAAAUAUAUAUUUUGUUCCGAUAGGGUUUGUGUAGGAGGACAAACAUGACACAAACCUUCCUAAUUGUUAGAAAUCCCACUGUUUACAUUGAGUGAAGUGAAGUAUAUUUAUAUAGCGCUUUUCUCUAGCGACUCAAAGCACUUUUACAUCGUGAAACCCAAUAUCUAAGUUACAUUCAAACCAGUCUGGGUGGCACUGGGAGCAGGUGGGUAAAGUGUCUUGCCCAAGGACACAACGGCAGUGACUAGGAUGGCGGAAGCGGGGAUCGAACCUGGAACCCUCAAGUUGCUGGCACGGCCACUCUACCAACCGAGCUAUGCUGCUUCACUGAUGAUACUAUUUUGCGUGCGCUAUUUUGUCCUACUAAUUUUGGAAGUCCUUGAACGCACCGUAGUUUGUUUACAUGUUAAAGUUAAAGUACCACUAAUUCACUCUCUCACACACACACACACACACACACACACACACACACACACACACACACACACACACACACACACACACACACACACACACACACACACACACACACACACA